GUCGCCAUUUUUAAUCUUUGCAGGUUGUUUUUUUUCACUCUCUCUCUCUGGUCAAGUGUAUGUCGAGAGUCGAAGCAGAUUAGAUGAUUGAUUUAUAAAGAGAAAAGGCUAAAACAGAAUUAUACUUUUUUCUGCCACGUGUUUCUUACACCUGCUCAAUUAUUUGAUUUCUUCCCUUUUAAUUUAUUCACAGAUCAUUGCACCGAAACCUAUCGUUAUCACUUAUCUGACUAAAACGGGUUGAUUGGAUGUCAUGCCAUAAAGCGAAUCACAAGACUACGCGUUUCUCUUCAUUUAACUGGGAAGGCCAUUGGUUUCUGCCGACAAAAAAAAACAUGCCUCUGCCGACAAAAAGAACAUGCCUCUACAAUAUUCUAG
RNAcentral lists this long non-coding RNA (378 nucleotides) under Brassica rapa (field mustard). RNAcentral describes it as "long non-coding RNA (BRAP_LNC005787)". The record is from RNAcentral. Lineage: Eukaryota; Viridiplantae; Streptophyta; Magnoliopsida; Brassicales; Brassicaceae.